GGGCAAACAGGUGAAUGGCGGAUGGAUCGGUAACCACCAGCCUCCGCCACGGAUCUCUGGCGUCCCUCCUGGCUGUCUCGCUGUCAAGGAGCCGGCUUUGAAGCCGGUUGUAGCCAGUACGACACCCUCCCUGCAGACCCUGAAGUUAAUCGUGUAAGGAGCAAGUGCUGUGUGAACCCAUUUAAGCAAGAGCUGCAGCAGCCCGUCCACUUUCUCAGAGGAACCUUCCCCAUGUGUGCUUGCUCUGCUCAGAGUCUGUGGCAGGGGCCAGAAGGAAGUCCAGGGAAAGAAUAUACCCCUGGAUAUGUCUUUUACUACAUUACAGAGACUAAUUUAAUGUCUUCCCAGCCAAAGUUCUUCAUUUCUUUGCCUUGCUCAUGAUUAUUGCUGGGGGACUAUGUGGCUUUUGAGAGCCUUUUGAAGGGAAUAGAAAUUGAGAUGCAAAUCAGUGGGAUGUAUCUUUUUUUGCUAUGCAAAAUUCCUGUAUGCAAUCUAAUCUGGUCCUGCAAAGCAGCAAGAUCUAAAGAUUUUGGAUUUAAUGCCUUUAAAAGUGAUCGGUGGCAGGAAUCAGGAAUCAGUAAAUAUUAAACCCAUGUCUCUCCCGUCUGAGACUCUGCACUUCCUGUAUACUGACACCCAUAAGCGGCAGAAAUCAUAUUCAGCUGGUCAGUUGAAAAAAAUAUCCAUGCAUCCAUGCACAAAUAUUAACUGUCUAAAAACGUAGACUCUGCUGCCCACUGGGGCAUAAUCUGUGUCCUCAAAGAGCUCUGACAUUUUGGUGGCAGCAGCCGGCAGACAACCGAGAGAGAGUGAAGGACUAAAUCGAGGAGAGGUGGGAGAAUUUUAACAAACAAGUGGUUCCUUUCUUGAUCUUCCUGGUCAACAGAUAAUGGCUGUCAGUGGGGUAUUGAGCCCCUCCCAUGCCAGACCAACAGUGCAUUCUCCAGACCAACUGCAUUCGUGGGCCACUUGUCGAGUAAUGGUUCUGUGCUACCCAUGGGCGACACUCUUUACAUAUGCUCUCAUUCAGUUGUCACAUGGGUUAUAUGAGGUAAGUAUUAUUGACUUCAUUCUAUAGAUGAGAAAACUGAGACUCAGAGAAAUUAAGUAACUUACCCAGGAUCACAUUGCUUG
This is a long non-coding RNA of Mustela lutreola (European mink), 1134 nucleotides long. RefSeq lists it as uncharacterized. The transcript has 3 exons. The record is from RefSeq and is a predicted model, not a curated record. NCBI's taxonomy places the organism in Eukaryota, Metazoa, Chordata, Mammalia, Carnivora, Mustelidae.